Molecule: ribosomal RNA, 329 nt
Filed under: uncultured eukaryote
Lineage: Eukaryota
Description: partial 18S ribosomal RNA
Rfam family: Eukaryotic small subunit ribosomal RNA
Source: RNAcentral
CCCUUAGAUGUCCUGGGCUGCACGCGCGCUACACUGAUGUGUCCAGUAAGCACCUAACCUCUUCCGAAAGGAACGGGUAACCUUUGCAAAGCACAUCGUGAUGGGGAUAGAUUAUUGCAAUUAUUAGUCUUGAACGAGGAAUUCCUAGUAAACGCAAGUCAUCAGCUUGCAUUGAUUACGUCCCUGCCCUUUGUACACACCGCCCGUCGCACCUACCGAUUGAAUGACUCGGUGAAAUAUCGGGACCGUUGUCUGGUUUGAUUCAUUUCGAACUAGAUAGUGGGAACUUUCUUUAACCUAUUUAUUUAGAGGAAGGUGAAGUCGUAACA